AUCCAGCUGACGAGUCCCAAAUAGGAUGAAACAGGCGUCAAACUGGAU
This is a non-coding RNA of Schistosoma rodhaini, 48 nucleotides long. The record is from Rfam. NCBI's taxonomy places the organism in Eukaryota, Metazoa, Platyhelminthes, Trematoda, Strigeidida, Schistosomatidae.